RNAcentral lists this ribosomal RNA (423 nucleotides) under uncultured bacterium. Its description in RNAcentral is "bacterial SSU rRNA". It matches the Rfam family "Bacterial small subunit ribosomal RNA", at positions 202 to 622 of the family's 1533-position model. The record is from RNAcentral.
AAGACCUCGCGCUAUUGGAGCGGCCGAUGUCCGAUUAGCUAGUUGGUGAGGUAAUGGCCCACCAAGGCAACGAUCGGUAGCUGGUCUGAGAGGAUGAUCAGCCACACUGGGACUGAGACACGGCCCAGACUCCUACGGGAGGCAGCAGUGGGGAAUUUUGGACAAUGGGCGCAAGCCUGAUCCAGCCAUGCCGCGUGAGUGAAGAAGGCCUUCGGGUUGUAAAGCUCUUUCGGCCGGAACGAAAUCGUCCGGGCUAAUACCCCGGAUGGAUGACGGUACCGGAAGAAGAAGCACCGGCUAACUACGUGCCAGCAGCCGUGGUAAUACGUAGGGUGCAGGCGUUAAUCGGAAUUACUGGGCGUAAAGCGUGCGCAGGCGGCUUCCUAAGUCAGAUGUGAAAUCCCCGGGCUUAACCUGGGAACU